UGACGGUACCCUUUCACAUAAGAGGUUGCUAACUCUGUGCCAGCAGCAGCGGUAAUACAGAGACCUCGAGCGUUAUCCGGAUUUACUGGGCGUAAAGCGUCUGUAGGGGGUAUGUUAAGUUCCAAGUAAAAUCUUAAGGCUCAACUUUAAGUUCGCUUGGAAAACUAAUAAACUGGAGUCCAGCAGAGGUGCAUGGAACUUGCGGUGUAGGAGUGAAAUCCGUUGAUAUCGCAAGGAACACCAAAGGGCGAAGGCAUUGCACUGGGGCUGGUACUGACCCUGAGAGACGAAAGCGUGGGGAGCAAAACGGAUUAGAUACCCGUGUAGUCCACGCCGUAAACGAUGGAUACUAGAUGUUCGGGGAUUCGACCCCCUGGGUGUCACAGCUAACGCGUUAAGUAUCCCGCCUGGGAAGUACGGCCGCAAGGCUAAAACUCAAAGGAAUAGACGGGGAUCCGCACAAGCGGUGGAGCGUCUGGUUUAAUUUGAUAGUAAGCAAUGGACCUCACCAAGGUUUGACAUCCUAUGACAACCCUGGAAACAGGGCUUCCUUCGGGCAUAGUGACAGGUGCUGCAUGGUCGUCGUCAGUUCGUGCCGUGAGGUGUUCCGUUAAGUCGGGAAACGAACGAAACCCUCGUCGCAUGUUACAAAUUUCAUGCGAGACUGCCCGGGUCAACCGGGAGGAAGGCGGGGAUGACGUCAGAUCAGCAUGGCCCUUAUACCUUGGGCUACACAGGCGCUACAAUGGCCGGUACAAAGGGUUGCAAAACCGCGAGGUGAAGCUAAUCCCAUAAAGCCGGUCCAAGUUCGGAUUGGAGGCUGCAACUCGCCUCCAUGAAGUUGGAAUCGCUAGUAAUCGUGGAUCAGCCAUACCACGGUGAUACGUUCCCGGAUCUUGUACUCACCGCCCGUCACACCAAGAGAGUUGGUAGCUCCUGAAGCGUCGCAUUAG
This 953-nucleotide ribosomal RNA is filed under the name uncultured organism. RNAcentral's name for it is "bacterial SSU rRNA". It matches the Rfam family "Bacterial small subunit ribosomal RNA", at positions 470 to 1438 of the family's 1533-position model. The record is from RNAcentral.